AACCCUGGUCUAAAUUAUUCAGGUCAGAUAUGGUAGCACUAGUUGACUUGGUUUCCACCAAGCCAUUCAUUAAGGUUGUUUGCCUAACAUUCCUUUAUGGUAAAGUGCUGAAUAACAUUCUGGGACUCUCUAGCUGUUUCCUCCUUGGGAUGGACAAGAGACCAGGUAUCCUGAUAGAUGGAAGUUGUCUCCACGUUUUUGAAGAAGGAACCCAUCUCAAUUGGAAAAGAAGGCAGUUGUCCUCUUGAGAAGAUGUCGGGAUGUGUGAGGAAAAAGCAAUUGGUAGUUUGGAAGAGCAAAACACAAAAGUGGUAGAAGGAGGGAAAGAAUGUUUUUAGCUGAAGUUAACUAAUGACAUGAAUACUUUGGGAUGGGGGCUAAUUUGCUUAUGUGGGUUGUGAUGAAAUUAUCCUCUUGUGACCAUACAUUCUGUUGAAAUCGUUCAGUAGUUUAGGAAUUCACUUGGGAAAAAAUAAUUGCAUGAAUAUUCACAUGCAUUUUUAUUAGCCUCAAAUGUAACCAUUUUGGUGCAUGUGCUUUAUAGCAUUUUUGCAAUAUUUUCCUCAUAGAAAAUGUAUUUUGGGUAUCUUCUAUAUCCAGAUAUUUGACAAAAUGUCACAGGGGCUGAAGCUGAAUAAGGGUUAUGGAGCAUGUAAACCAGGCACUGAAUGUCCCCAGAUCCUGUUAGGGUGAUUAUUUAUAUCUUCAUAUAGCAGAGAUCUAAAGGAAGGGUCUAAGCUUGCUUGGUGGAACACUUUAAGAUAAGGAUGGGAAUUGUUUAGCAACCAAGGCUUCAAAUUUGCAUUUUAAAAAGGGAUCUGUGGCUUCUGGGAUAUGGUUAGUGAUGUAGCAGUUUCCAAAAUUUAGUCUAUUUGGAUAUUUUUGGUGAAGGAGGCAGAAUUCAAGGCUAAAUAGAUAUAUUAGACAUAGUUUGAUAGGUAGGUACCAGUGAGUCAGAUUUAGCUCUUGAUGUCUGUAUGGGCAAAAACACCCCAUCUUGUCUUGUUACCAGUGAUAACCCAUAAUUCUUCUAAGGACCUUCCAAUGAUCUCCUUGCGCCUGUCCAUCCAACUUACCCAAUUUCUUCUCCUUCCCUCAACCUUGUCAAGUGUAGCCAUUUUUUUCUAGGCCAUUAUCUACUCAUAGCACAUGCCCAAAGUAUGUGAGUUUCCCCUGCUGAUCAUCAUCUCAAGGAACCAUCAGCCUUAGUUUGGUCCAGGCUGGUUGACUGUUUCUUCUUGCAACCUAUGGUUCUUCUCCAGAUCUAUAAGGUGUCAUUCUUUUUUUCCCUUCUAUUCUGCUCUUUGUGGUUUUCAAAUCUAAUGGCAGCACAAUUUACCUAUUUUUAUUUUCGAAGCUUUGCACAGCCCAAAACUGGUACAGUGUCUCUGAAUUUUAGUUUGAUCUUGAGAGACUUUGAUGCCAUGGUCACAAAAGUUUAACACAGGCAUUUCCCUCUGCCACAGGAGACUUAAUAUAGUUAUAUUUGUGUAUUUACAUAUCACUUGUAUAUUAAUAUCUGCAUACAGAUCUGUCCUGCCGUAAAUCAAUUAGGUCCACAAAAGAAGCUGUUUAUGAAGUCUUCCUGGGGAUUGAAGGAAGCCUGUGAAACGGAAGACAAGCAGAUGGAUGGCCUCUAAGAUUCCUUCCCACUUGAUGGUUCUCUGAUUCGUACAAAGGCUUUGGCCCCCUCACAGGUCAAUUGCUGCAAGAUGACUGACGUUCUGGCUGACAGCGUUUCUCCAAACUCCUCCUUUGAACGACAUGUCAACAUUUCAAAAAAGCAAAUGUCCAAGAUGUCAAAAAGAAAUCACAUCAGUGUCAAAUUCUGAAUUUCAAAAGCAAAGCAUCUUUCAAAUGAAAUGAAACCUGAGUGGAAAAAGGCUUAUUCUUUGUAAAGGACAGAACUAGUUUCAGAAGAUAAAGGCAAAUACUGUGAUCGUGGUGGGCCCUCCUCUUUUUCAGAUGUAUAAGAGAAUGCAGCUCUCAACGUAAAAGGCUAUUAUUAUCAACACAAGAUGCUGUUUUCUUUUCAGGACCAAAUGGUGCAGUUGCAUUGAUGUGCUUCCCGCCCUUGUCCUGCCAGCUGUGUUCCUGCAGAAACUGAAUAUAUUUCAGAGAAGACAACUUUUUCCCAGAGAGUUGUUUCUGAGGCCUUCUAGAAAGCCUUCUUUAAAAUCUACUGCCUCUCCCCUUAUUCUACUACCACUGCUGGUGCUGUAGGAGUUCUAUGAAUAAGGAACCAUCCUGGCAUGAGAAUGUGGACAUCUCCAAGGAGGACAUCUUCAAAGAGGACAAGAGAGCAAGAACUUAUGGGCUUAAGGGGUAUUGAACCUCACCUAACAGCCCAGAUAAUGUAUCUGAAGGGGAAGAAAGCUAUUUAGUGAUACUUGCAGGGGCACUCCCUUGCUUCAGUCCUUGUAGAAUCUAAAACGGGAAGUGAAAUGAGUUCCCACGUUCAUUUUGCCAGAUAUUAUCUGGCUCCUGCCUCAGCCUUUUAGUGUCAUUUAGCAAAUUAAUGAAGUUCUAGGAAUUGUUGAUGCACCCACUGUCUGGGGAAGGAAUCUUAAAUCAUUGAAAUUCACAUUUCUUGAUGUUUGUGUGGAAGAGAUCAUUCUUUUCCUUUAAAAAAAAUCUAGGAAAUUCAUGUAUCUAUCACUGGCAGCAAAGAAAAGUCAAAUCUCCUUUAGAGUCAUGUCUGCUUCCUUUUGAGAUAUGUCCAUGUAGUUUUCUACGAUAUGGAACAAUGUUAUGUUAUAGUACUGUACUGUAUAAUAUAGUAUGUAAUAAUGUGGAAGUGUUUUUUUCAUUGCGUUAUUUGUUUGUUUUUUUAAUCUCCCAGUCUGGCCUAAAAUCUUGUCCUAUUAGUCUCCCAUCCAGGUCCUAAGAAUGGGUCUACUUAGCUCCUGAGCCCAAAAGCUGAUACCUGUGAAGACAUACAAUAGAACUAAACCAAACAAAGGUUCUCGCUUCUAUUA
Long non-coding RNA from Python bivittatus (Burmese python), 2978 nucleotides. RefSeq lists it as uncharacterized. The record is from RefSeq and is a predicted model, not a curated record. NCBI's taxonomy places the organism in Eukaryota, Metazoa, Chordata, Lepidosauria, Squamata, Pythonidae.